This 73-nucleotide transfer RNA is filed under the name Candidatus Woesearchaeota archaeon. Its description in RNAcentral is "tRNA-Thr". It matches the Rfam family "tRNA". From Rfam's summary of the family: Transfer RNA (tRNA) molecules are approximately 80 nucleotides in length. Their secondary structure includes four short double-helical elements and three loops (D, anti-codon, and T loops). Further hydrogen bonds mediate the characteristic L-shaped molecular structure. tRNAs have two regions of fundamental functional importance: the anti-codon, which is responsible for specific mRNA codon recognition, and the 3' end, to which the tRNAs corresponding amino acid is attached (by aminoacyl-tRNA synthetases). tRNAs cope with the degeneracy of the genetic code in two manners: having more than one tRNA (with a specific anti-codon) for a particular amino acid; and 'wobble' base-pairing, i.e. permitting non-standard base-pairing at the 3rd anti-codon position. The record is from RNAcentral. Lineage: Archaea; Nanobdellati; Candidatus Woesearchaeota.
GCUUCGGUGGCUCAGUCAGUAGAGCGCGUGCUUGGUAAGCACGAGGUCGGGGGUGCAAUUCCCCCCCGAAGCU